UGUAUUAGAGGCAUUGCCUGCCCAGUGACUAAAGUUAAACGGCCGCGGUAUCCUGACCGUGCAAAGGUAGCAUAAUCACUUGUUCCUUAAUUAGGGACUAGAAUGAAUGGCUAAACGAGGGUUCAACUGUCUCUUACUUUCAAUCAGUGAAAUUGACCUUCCAGUGAAGAGGCUGGAAUCUCCCAAUAAGACGAGAAGACCCUAUGGAGCUUUAAUUUACUAGUUCAACUUAUAUAAAAACAACCUAAUGGGCUAAAACAAAAUAAAUAUGAACUAAAAAAUUUCGGUUGGGGUGACCUCGGAGAAUAAAAAAUCCUCCGAAUGAUUUUAACCUAGACUCACAAGUCAAAGUAAUACUAAUAUCUUAUUGACCCAAUUAUUGAUCAACGGACCAAGUUACCCUAGGGAUAACAGCGCAAUCCUAUUUAAGAGUUCAUAUCGACAAUUAGGGUUUACGACCUCGAUGUUGGAUCAGGACAUCCCAAUGGUGCAGAAGCUAUUAAUGGUUCGUUUGUUCAACGAUUAAAGUCCUACGUGAUCAUU
RNAcentral lists this ribosomal RNA (543 nucleotides) under Rattus norvegicus (Norway rat). RNAcentral describes it as "partial large subunit ribosomal RNA". It matches the Rfam family "Bacterial large subunit ribosomal RNA", at positions 1842 to 2608 of the family's 2925-position model. The record is from RNAcentral. Lineage: Eukaryota; Metazoa; Chordata; Mammalia; Rodentia; Muridae.